Molecule: ribosomal RNA, 376 nt
Filed under: uncultured eukaryote
Lineage: Eukaryota
Description: partial 18S ribosomal RNA
Rfam family: Eukaryotic small subunit ribosomal RNA
Source: RNAcentral
CAAUAGCGUAUAUUAAAGUUGUUGCAGUUAAAAAGCUCGUAGUUGGAUUUCGGGGUGAGCUUGAUGGUCGGCCACUGGCUGUACUGUCGGGGUCAUUCUUCCUGUCGGGGACCAUGCCUUCUCUUAGUUGGGCGGGUAUGGGAAACGGCACGUUUACUGUGAGAAAAUUAGAGUGUUCAAAGCAGGCCAAUGCUGUGAAUACAUUAGCAUGGAAUAAUGGAAUAGGACUUUGGUUCUAUUUUGUUGGUUUCUAGGACCGAAGUAAUGAUUAAUAGGGAUAGUUGGGGGCAUUCAUAUUUAAUUGUCAGAGGUGAAAUUCUUGGAUUUAUGAAAGAUGAACUUCUGCGAAAGCAUUUGCCAAGGAUGUUUUCAUUAA